This is a non-coding RNA of Perkinsus olseni, 86 nucleotides long. Lineage: Eukaryota; Perkinsozoa; Perkinsida; Perkinsidae. The record is from the annotation of a GenBank genome assembly.
GACAGCGUGUCCGAGUGGUUAAGGAGGUGGACUUGAAAUCCAUUAAUUAGGCUCAGCCUGCGCAGGUUCGAAUCCUUCCGCUGUCG